RNAcentral lists this unclassified non-coding RNA (366 nucleotides) under air metagenome. RNAcentral's name for it is "partial contains small subunit ribosomal RNA, internal transcribed spacer 1, and 5.8S ribosomal RNA". The stretch from base 1 to 46 matches the Rfam family "Eukaryotic small subunit ribosomal RNA", at positions 1786 to 1831 of the family's 1831-position model. The record is from RNAcentral.
AAGUCGUAACAAGGUUUCCGUAGGUGAACCUGCGGAAGGAUCAUUAUUGAAUUAUGUUUUCUAGAUGGGUUGUAGCUGGCUCCCAGGAGCAUGUGCACACCUGUUUGGACUUCAUUUUCAUCCACCUGUGCACCUUUUGUAGUCUUUGUUGGGUAUUGAGGAAGUGGUCAGCCUAUCAGCUCUUGCUGGAUAUGAGGACUUGCAGUGUGAAAGCAUUGCUAUCCUCUACUUGGCCAUGGAAUCUUUUGCCUAUCAAAGUCUAUGUCAUUCAUUAUACCCUAUAGAAUGUUAUUGAAUGUCUUUACAUGGGCUUCCAUGCCUAUGAAAAUUGUAAUACAACUUUCAGCAACGGAUCUCUUGGCUCUC